Molecule: ribosomal RNA, 305 nt
Filed under: uncultured bacterium
Lineage: Bacteria
Description: bacterial SSU rRNA
Rfam family: Bacterial small subunit ribosomal RNA
Source: RNAcentral
CUGUACCUACGGGGCGCAGCAGUGAGGAAUAUUGGUCAAUGGUCGGGAGACUGAACCAGCCAAGCCGCGUGAGGGAGGAAGGUACAGAGUAUCGUAAACCUCUUUUGCCAGGGAACAAAGACUGGGACGCGUCCCCGGAUGAGUGUACCUGAAGAAAAAGCAUCGGCUAACUCCGUGCCAGCAGCCGCGGUAAUACGGAGGAUGCGAGCGUUAUCCGGAUUUAUUGGGUUUAAAGGAUGCGCAGGCGGUCUGUUAAGUCAGCGGUCAAAGCCCGGGGCUCAACCCCGGCCCGCCGUUGAAACUGG